GAUGAACGCUGGCGGCGUGCCUAAUACAUGCAAGUCGAACGAAACUUCUUUAUCACCGAGUGCUUGCACUCACCGAUAAAGAGUUGAGUGGCGAACGGGUGAGUAACACGUGGGCAACCUGCCCAAAAGAGGGGGAUAACACUUUGAAACAGGUGCUAAUACCGCAUAACCAUAGUUACCGCAUGGUAACUAUGUAAAAGGUGGCUAUACUACCGCGUUUUGAUGGGCCCGCGGCGCAUUAGCUAGUUGGUAGGGUAAAGGCUUACCAAGGCAAUGAUGCGUAGCCGAAUUGAGAGGUUGAUCGGCCACAUUGGGACUGAGACACGGCCCAAACUCCUACGGGAGGCAGCAGUAGGGAAUCUUCGACAAUGGGCGAAAGCCUGAUGGAGCAACGCCGCGUGGGUGAAGAAGGUCUUCGGAUCGUAAAACCCUGUUGUUAGAGAAGAAAGUGCGUGAGAGUAACUGUUGACGUUUCGACGGUAUCUAACCAGAAAGCCACGGCUAACUACGUG
This 512-nucleotide ribosomal RNA is filed under the name uncultured bacterium. RNAcentral's name for it is "partial 16S ribosomal RNA". It matches the Rfam family "Bacterial small subunit ribosomal RNA", at positions 28 to 507 of the family's 1533-position model. The record is from RNAcentral.